GCCGGGUUGGUGGAAUCGGUAGACACACCUGUCGCAAGACAGGCCUCGAAAGAGAGUGGAGGUUCGAAUCCUUUGCCCGGCA
RNAcentral lists this transfer RNA (82 nucleotides) under bacterium. RNAcentral describes it as "tRNA-OTHER". It matches the Rfam family "tRNA". Rfam says of the family: Transfer RNA (tRNA) molecules are approximately 80 nucleotides in length. Their secondary structure includes four short double-helical elements and three loops (D, anti-codon, and T loops). Further hydrogen bonds mediate the characteristic L-shaped molecular structure. tRNAs have two regions of fundamental functional importance: the anti-codon, which is responsible for specific mRNA codon recognition, and the 3' end, to which the tRNAs corresponding amino acid is attached (by aminoacyl-tRNA synthetases). tRNAs cope with the degeneracy of the genetic code in two manners: having more than one tRNA (with a specific anti-codon) for a particular amino acid; and 'wobble' base-pairing, i.e. permitting non-standard base-pairing at the 3rd anti-codon position. The record is from RNAcentral.